This is a long non-coding RNA of Lagopus leucura (white-tailed ptarmigan), 1280 nucleotides long. RefSeq lists it as uncharacterized. The record is from RefSeq and is a predicted model, not a curated record. Lineage: Eukaryota; Metazoa; Chordata; Aves; Galliformes; Phasianidae. The transcript is spliced from 4 exons.
GAGAUCUCUCCUUAGGAGUUAUGCAGCAAGCCCAGGAUGUGGGGCGAAUUUAAAAAGUGUGGGAAGGAAAACAUGAAAAUAUACUGCCUUUUGAAGCAAGUUAGUAGUAAAAAUGAAGUAGCAAAAUAUUUCCCUUUUCCCUGCUGGCUUGUAACUAAUGAACAAAUGACUAGUUAAUAUCAUUAACUAGGGAAAAAAUAGCCUCAGUUCUUCUUAGAAUAUAAAAUGGUUGAAUUGGGAAUUGUGGACAGACCAGCCAUCACUACUUUACCUAAAAGUUGUUGUGGUGAAGCUUGGAACCCUGUCACAUUGGUGUGUGUACAAACAUGCAGUCUCCCAUCCCGAGAAGGAUCAAAAUAACUCUGCGACUGCGAAAGGAGAGACAGUUCUUCCCCUUAAUUUACAUACAUGAAACCGAGAACAAGGUCAGAAAGAAAUAGAAUAAUGAAAGUGUCAUGGACUGACAAUGCAUCAGAUUAUGUAACUGUAAAAUUUUACAUGCUUCACAGUGAAGGAAUUUACUAAUUUUUAAUUUAAAAUGAUUGAGAAAUGUGAGAGAAAUAGUUCAGAGUGAAAAUGGUGGUUCAUAUGCUUUCAUGUUUCUUUACAUCUCCAAACUGUUUGAUGCCUCUGUGUUACGAAGCAGAAGACUCCUUGGCUGCCAGUGAGAUCCUAAGAUUGUUCAGCACUGUCUUGUCCAUCAGUUUGUCAAAAACCUUUUGUAACAGUUAAAUAAAUAAAUGAAUAAAAUAACGUAAAUUAGGAGUAAAAAUUAUAAGGAAAUAUUUUGCAUAACGCAUAGAUUCACCAAUAGGACAUAAAGUUACUGCAGUUAUUUUCAUAAAGCUGUUAAAAGCACAGUACCUAUUUUAUUUAAGAGCAUGGAUUUGAAGUAAGAAAAUCAUGAAUGGAAGCCUGUUAGCCCUGACACUCUGUGUCCCUGAGAGAAGGCAGUGCGACCAACCCUGGUAUGACAUCACCUGAGUACCAGAUGCAAGACCACAGCAGAUGGGGUAGGAAAUUGUGGGAAAUAAUGUCAAAUCUGUUGAUCUGCUAAUGUGUACAUACUUAAAUAUAUGUAACAACUCUUUGCCUUUCUGUCAGACAAUUUAAAUGUGAUUGUCCCUAUCUCCUACACUUUCGCUCUAAAAAACAAUGUGUUCUGGAAUGCUUUGUCUGCUUAAGUUUAAAUCACUACUGGCUCUUUCAUGGGAAGUCUUAUCUGAUCCUCAGCUUAGUUUUCUUCUCUCAGCUGGUCAUAAAACUACCCAUCAAGCUCA